RNAcentral lists this ribosomal RNA (279 nucleotides) under uncultured bacterium. Its description in RNAcentral is "partial 16S ribosomal RNA". It matches the Rfam family "Bacterial small subunit ribosomal RNA", at positions 506 to 784 of the family's 1533-position model. The record is from RNAcentral.
UGCCAGCCGCCGCGGUAAUACGGAGGGUGCAAGCGUUAUCCGGAAUCACUGGGUUUAAAGGGCGCGUAGGCGGCUUGGUCAGUCAGAUGUGAAAGCCCGGGGCUCAACCCCGGAACUGCAUUUGAUACUUCCAAGCUAGAGGUCGAAAGAGGAGAGUGGAAUACCCAGUGUAGAGGUGAAAUUCGUAGAUAUUGGGUGGAACACCAGUGGCGAAAGCGGCUCUCUGGUUCGAAUCUGACGCUGAGGCGCGAAAGCGUGGGGAGCAAACAGGAUUAGAUA